CUGGCGGCGUGCCUAAUACAUGCAAGUCGAACGGCUUUCGUAUGGAAGCUUGCUUCCACUGAGAAGAUAGUGGCGGACGGGUGAGUAACACGUGGGUAACCUGCCCAUAAGAGGGGGAUAACAUCCGGAAACGGGUGCUAAUACCGCAUAGUUUCUUGAUCGCAUGAUCGGGAAAGGAAAGACGGCCUUUGUGCUGUCGCUUAUGGAUGGACCCGCGGCGUAUUAGUUAGUUGGUGAGGUAAUGGCUCACCAAGACGAUGAUACGUAGCCGACCUGAGAGGGUGAUCGGCCACAUUGGGACUGAGACACGGCCCAAACUCCUACGGGAGGCAGCAGUAGGGAAUCUUCCGCAAUGGACGAAAGUCUGACGGAGCAACGCCGCGUGAGUGAAGAAAAGGUUUUCGGAUCGUAAAACUCUGUUGUCAGAGAAGAACAAGUUGGAGAGUAACUGCUCCAGCCUUGACGGUAUCUGACCAGAAAGCCACGGCUAACUACGUGCCAGCCGCCGC
This 509-nucleotide ribosomal RNA is filed under the name uncultured bacterium. Its description in RNAcentral is "bacterial SSU rRNA". It matches the Rfam family "Bacterial small subunit ribosomal RNA", at positions 36 to 518 of the family's 1533-position model. The record is from RNAcentral.